This 478-nucleotide ribosomal RNA is filed under the name uncultured bacterium. RNAcentral describes it as "bacterial SSU rRNA". It matches the Rfam family "Bacterial small subunit ribosomal RNA", at positions 28 to 507 of the family's 1533-position model. The record is from RNAcentral.
GACGAACGCUGGCGGCGUGCCUAACACAUGCAAGUCGAGCGGGGACUUAUGGAAUGAAGCUUCGGCAGAAUGAAGUAAGUUCUAGCGGCGGACGGGUGAGUAACGCGUGAGUAACCUGCCUAUCACUGGGGAAUAACGCAUCGAAAGGUGUGCUAAUACCGCAUGAGACCACAAUGUCGCAUGACGAAGGGGUCAAAGAUUUAUGGUGAUAGAUGGGCUCGCGUCUGAUUAGCUAGUUGGUGAGGUAACGGCCCACCAAGGCGACGAUCAGUAGCCGACCUGAGAGGGUGAUCGGCCACAUUGGAACUGAGAAACGGUCCAAAACUCCUACGGGAGGCAGCAGUGGGGAAUAUUGGGCAAUGGGGGAAACCCUGACCCAGCAACGCCGCGUGAAGGAAGAAGGUCUUCGGAUCGUAAACUUCUAUCCUUGGUGAAGAUAAUGACGGUAGCCGAGAAGGAAGCCCCGGCUAACUACGUG